Molecule: ribosomal RNA, 1470 nt
Filed under: uncultured marine bacterium
Lineage: Bacteria
Description: partial 16S ribosomal RNA
Rfam family: Bacterial small subunit ribosomal RNA
Source: RNAcentral
UCGUGGCUCAGAUCGAACGCUGGCGGCAGGCUUAACACAUGCAAGUCGAACGAAGUCUUCGGACUUAGUGGCAGACGGGUGAGUAACGCGUGGGAACUUACCUUUCGGUACGGAACAACAGUUGGAAACGACUGAUAAUACCGUAUGCGCCGUACGGGGGAAAGAUUUAUCGCCGAGAGAUGGGCCCGCGUUGCAUUAGGUAGUUGGUGGGGUAAUGGCCUACCAAGGCGAUGAUCCAUAGCUGGUCUGAGAGGAUGAUCAGCCACACUGGGACUGAGACACGGCCCAGACUCGUACGGGAGGCAGCAGUGGGGAAUAUUGGACAAUGGGGGCAAGCCCGAUCCAGCCAUGCCGCGUGAGUGAUGAAGGCCUUAGGGUUGUAAAGCUCUUUCAGCGAGGAGGAUAAUGACGUUACUCGCAGAAGAAGCCCCGGCUAACUUCGUCCCAGCAGCCGCGGUAAUACGAAGGGGGCUAGCGUUUUUCGGAAUCACUGGGCGUAAAGCGCACGUAGGCGGACUUUUAAGUCAGGGGUGAAAUCCCGGAGCUCAACUCCGGAACCGCCUUUGAUACUGGAAGUCUUGAGUCCGAGAGAGGUGAGUGGAACUCCGAGUGUAGAGGUGAAAUUUGUAGAUAUUGGGAGGAACACCAGUGGAGAAGGCGGCUCACUGGCUCGAUACUGACGGUGAGGUGACGAAAGUGUGGGGAGCAAACAGGAUUAGAUACCCUGGUAGUCCACGCCGUAAACGAUGCGAACUGCGAGUCGUUGGGUGGCACUUAGGCCUUCGGUAUCGAAGCUAACGCGUUAAGUUCGCCGCCUGGGGAGUACGGUCGCAAGACUGAAACUCAAAGGAAUUGACGGGGGCCCGCACAAGCGGUGGAGUAUGUGGUUUAAUUCAAUGCAACGCGCAGAACCUUACCUGGCCUUGACAUCCAGGGAACUUUCCAGAGAUGGAUUGGUGCCUUCGGGAACCCUGAGACAGGUGCUGCAUGGCUGUCGUCAGCUCGUGUCGUGAGAUGUUGGGUUAAGUCCCGCAACGAGCGCAACCUUUGUCCCUAGUUGCCAGCACUUCGGGUGGGAACUCUAGGGAGACUGCCGGUGACAAACCGGAGGAAGGUGGGGAUGACGUCAAGUCAUCAUGGCCCUUACGGCCAGGGCUACACACGUACUACAAUGGUGGGGACAGAGGGCAUGCCAGCCGCGAGGCGGAUGCCAUCCCAUAAACCCCAUCCUAGUCCGGAUCUGACUCUGCAACUCGACUCCGUGAAGUCCGAAUCGCUAGUAAUCGCACAUCAGCAUUGCUGCGGUGAAUACGAUCCCGGGCCUUGUACACACCGCCCGUCACACCAUGGGAGUUUGCUGCAUCAGAAGCAGGUAGCUUAACCGCAAGGAUGGCGCUUGCCACGGUGUGCCCGAUGACUGGGGUGAAGUCGUAGGUAGGUAACCAGUCGCUACAGAGUGACCACAGAGUU